Molecule: long non-coding RNA, 703 nt
Organism: Daphnia magna
Lineage: Eukaryota; Metazoa; Arthropoda; Branchiopoda; Diplostraca; Daphniidae
Exons: 2
Source: RefSeq, a predicted model, not a curated record
CUUGUUUUCUGCCUCCACCGGAGAAAAAUGGGUCCAAACCAUUGGCUUUUCCUCCCCUCUUUUGCUUCACCUGUGAAGGUUGUUACGCUCUUUUCCUACAAUCAGGACCAUCAGUUUCAAACUGUCCGUCCCUCUGUCCAUCCAUCCGUUGUCCUUUUUCCGCACUUACAACCAAAGUUUGUUUUUCUUUUUCUUCUUCCUCCCUACACUCCAAAGUUGAAGGAGGAGGGGAGAAUGGAACCUCGUCGUACGUGUGUGGAACAGAGAGAUGCCCGUCUUUUCUUUUAUUUUUUUUUUUUUUUGCGCUGCGUAGUUAUAACAACGACUGGGCGCAGACUAGAGUGGCGUCGUAUAUCGCACAAUGGCAUCGGUUUUCGAAUUUCGCGCUACAAGAAACUCCGGCCCCAAUGCCCCCAUGUUUCUCCUUUUUGCUGUGGCUGGGCUGUAUAUCGUCUGGCCAUUUCCUGUGCGAAAAUUUGAUUUAACCAUCAACAAAUGAGAAAUGAAUUUUAAACAUUUUUGCCCGCGCUAACGGCCUAUUGGUUGAAACUCUCUCACAUCCUCGUGCGUUUUGUGCGUACACGACCUUCUAUUCUCCUCUUUUUUUUUUUUUGUCUCUGUGAUUCCCUCCGACUGAUAAAAGAUUAUUGUCUUCUUUUUUUUCUUCUCUUCUUUGGGACAAAAAAAUAAAUAAAUAAAUAAA